GCCAGAUACACGCGCCCCCGCCCGCGCGACCGGCCCGCUGGCCUGGAACUCGGGGGCGCGCGCGUCUCCCGGAGCCCGUAGGCUCCAGGGCCCCGCCCGCAGCUCCGGCUGGGGAAACUGAGGCCCGGCGACCGGGCAGUCAGGACUGUACAGCGACCAAGAAAUAAAAGACGUUUUGGCCCCUGCGCCGUGAACUCCUGCAGGAGUGUGCAGAAAUUCGUUUAUGGACUAUUUCUUGAGCACCUACCAAGUGCCAGGGGUUCGUUGAGUAUAAAACAGUAAGCAAAAUAGAUUCGCCUGAUUUUGCAGAGGUUAAUCAAGUUAGUAGGCACGUUUGAAAAAAUUACUUUGCUAAUCUUUUUCAAUGAAUUCUUUCUCUGUGUCCUGAGACCCAGCCAACUCCUUGGAGGGUCAGGAAAGGCUUCCCAGAAGAGAUUUAUUUUGAGGCUUGAGCGUGAGCAGGAUUAACAGGUGAAAGAAGGGAGAGACAGUUCUCCAGGCGAGGGGGAUCAGCGCGCCCGGAAACAGGAAGAAGGUUGUCCAAGAAGGAGGCCAGUGCCCAGGGAAGGGAAGAGGGGAGGAAUGGCUGGAAUCUCGAUCCUCUGUGGAAAGAUCGCUCCGCCUGUUGCGUGGAGGAGGGACCAUGGAACAGAGAGCUGAGGGAGACCAGGGAGGAGGCUGCUGUUGUUGUCCCGGGGAGAGAUGACCUGUAUGGGGAUGGAGAGAGCAACAUGGAGUAAGAUACCAAGAAGGCAAUUCUGGCUUGACUUAGUAAUAGGAAAUUUCUCUUUUACCAAAGUCUCAUCCCUUGGCCCCCACCCAGCCUCUGCAUAUUGCACAAGUACUGCCAAACGCAGUGGUCCCAGCCCGCCCCACGGCUUAGCAAAUCUGACUUACUGCCCAACAGGAAACCCACCGCAGCCUUCUGGAUUCUUCCCCUUCCCUCCCUUUGUCCUGCUGUGACCUUCUCCUUGUUAUUCACAGGGUCUCAGCACGAUUCAUCUCAAAGGUGGUUCUCAGUGAGGGGUACUGUAGCUUCUACCGAGCGUUUUGAAGGGGGAAUGGGAAUGUUUUUGUUUGGAAAACUCUGCCCCUACCGCAAAAGCUCUCUCUCUCUUUCCCUCCCCCACAAAGAGGCUCCCUUAUCUCUCACUUUACAUACCGGCCAUAGCCCUCCCGCCGCCCAGCUUCCCGCCGCCCAGCUUCCCGCCCAGCAGUUCAAACUGACCAACAGUUGCCCACCACCUCGGCUUUUGGCUUCCCCACCCCCAGCCCUUCAGCCCCCUAUAAAACAACCCUGCCCCUCUGAGCAGCGCGGCCAUUUUUCCUUUUCGUCCCAGCUGGCCCGCCCGGAGGCUCUUUCCUCUCAAUAAAGCCUGAACUUAAGGAAUUUCCUCUAGCCUGCGGUCCGGUUUCUUUCCCAAUGAGCCCAGUCUUCCCGCAGAGGGUAGGUCGGACAAAUGGUGCCGGAAACCCGGGACGGGAGCUGAGGCUGUUGGCCCGGCCACGGCCCCCCUCCCCGACCUACCCAACACUGGCCCUGCCACCUCCACAUUCCGAUUAAGGCUGGAUUGAAGCUUACCCCACAGCCUCUGAGUCUGCCGGGACAGUAGCCACUCAUCUCAUUCAAGACAUCAUCCCACGCUUUGGACUCCCAGCUACCAUACAGUCAGACAACGGCCUAGCCUUUAUCUCCAAAGUCACUAAUGCCGUUUCUACCUCUCUAGGAAUUCAGUAGAAGCUACAUGCCGCCUACCAUCCCCAGUCCUCUGGUAAGGUAGAACAGGCCAAUGGCCUAAUAAAGGAGCAUCUGACCAAGCUCAUGCUUGAGCUCCGCCAAUCCUGGGUAACCUGACUUCCUAUCGCCCUCACCAGAGUAAGAGCAAGCCCCCGGGGCCCAUCACAGCUUAGCCCAUUUGAGCUGCUGUAUGGUUGCCCCUUCCUGCUUUCAACUCCCCCACCGCCAGAGACUACUCCUCUAGACAGCUACCUCCCCUACUUUACUCAGGAUUAGGAGGAGGGGCACUAGUCCACUCUCACCUGGCCAUAGCCCGACUGACCUCACAACUCCAAGCGGCUAUUGAUGACUCUACUGAGUCUUUAGCAUCAUUCCAACGACAGAUCACCUCAGUUGCCCAAGUUGCCUUGCAGAACCGAAGAGCCCUGGACCUGCUCACUGCUGAAUGAGGAGGGACCUGUAUCUUCCUACAGGAAGAGUGCUGUUACUACAUCAAUGAAUCCGGCCUAGUAGAAACCCGAAUCGAGAGCCUCCAGAAACUCAAAACUAACCUGCAGAGUCAGAAGUUCUCGGCUGAAGCCACAGCGUGGUGGUCUUCCUCUAUGUAUACCCUCUUGUCCCCAUUGCUUGGGCCCCUAGUAGCUGUUUGCCUAAUCUUACUUAUUGCUCCUUGCUUUCUACAGUUCCUAUAGCGGCGCUUUCAAGAACUGACUCGAGUCACCAUCCACCAGAUGCUGCUCCAACCCUACCCUGAACGAGUGCAAGAAACAGACCUCUCCCCGAACAUCCAGGCUCCUUAGGAAAAGAAACCUCUUCAGAACCCCCCCGUCGACCCUUGUCAGCAGGAAGUAGCCAGAGAGACAACCGACGCCCCUGACCCCCUCUUUUUCUUUUCUUUAAGGAGUCGGGAAUGUUUGGAAAACUCUGCCCCUACCGCAAAAGCUCUCUCUCUCUUUCCCUCCCCCACAAAGAGGCUCCCUUAUCUCUCACUUUACAUACCGGCCAUAGCCCUCCCGCCGCCCAGCUUCCCGCCGCCCAGCUUCCCGCCCAGCAGUUCAAACUGACCAACAGUUGCCCACCACCUCGGCUUUUGGCUUCCCCACCCCCAGCCCUUCAGCCCCCUAUAAAACAACCCUGCCCCUCUGAGCAGCGCGGCCAUUUUUCCUUUUCGUCCCAGCUGGCCCGCCCGGAGGCUCUUUCCUCUCAAUAAAGCCUGAACUUAAGGAAUUUCCUCUA
Molecule: non-coding RNA, 2974 nt
Organism: Callithrix jacchus (white-tufted-ear marmoset)
Lineage: Eukaryota; Metazoa; Chordata; Mammalia; Primates; Cebidae
Source: RefSeq, a predicted model, not a curated record